This is a long non-coding RNA of Solea solea (common sole), 1827 nucleotides long. RefSeq lists it as uncharacterized. The record is from RefSeq and is a predicted model, not a curated record. Lineage: Eukaryota; Metazoa; Chordata; Actinopteri; Pleuronectiformes; Soleidae. The transcript is spliced from 4 exons.
UAGAUAGAUACUUUAUUGAUCCUGAAGGAAAUUCAAGAUGUUACCUUCCAGCAACUUUCAAGGAAGUCCAAAGAUAUGAACUCCAUCACUUCUCUGACGCAAGUGUUAUAGGGUAUGGAGGAUGUACGUAUCUGAGAGCUAUCAGUGUUUCAGGACAAAUUCAUUGCUCUUUGGUCAUGGGCAAGGCCAGCGUGGCCCCCACGAAAGUCACAACAGUACCCAGGCUGGAACUGUCGGCAGACGAGAAGAUUUCAUGUAUUUUUGGCGAACCGCAUUCAGCGCAUCAGAGAGAGUACCAAUCCAAGCCAAUGGAGACGUGAUCACAGAAGACAAUCCUGCUGAUCACGCAUCAAGGGGCCUAAUGAGAGUUAUUGUAAGUCUUGAUGGCUGAUGGCUGGAAUGACUUCCUGAAUCUGUCCUUGUGACAGCGGAGCUGUCUGAAUCUCUUGGAGAAUGUGCUCUCCUGGGCCUGGAGGAUGUGGUGGAGAGGAUGAUCGGCAUUAUCCAUGAUGGAAAAAAGUUUAUUUAGCAUCCUCCUUUCCACCACCGUUUCCAUGGUGUCCUGUUUGCAGCUGAUGAUGGGAGUUCUCAUCAGGGAGUUCUCAUCACUGAGAACUUACCUUUAUGAAGUCAUGGCAAUCAUAAACAGCAGACCUUUAACGGCACACUGUCUCAACGACCCAGCUGGGCCGCAGCCUCUUACUCCCAACCACAUCCUGACGAUGAAAUCCUCAGUAAUCUCGCCACCACCUGGAGACUUUGUAAGGGAGGACCUUUAUCUUUGCAAAAGAUGGCGUAGAGUACAAUAUUUGACCAAUGUUUUCUGGUCCAGAUGGAGAAAAGAAUACUUGUUAAGCCAGCAACAGAGGCAAACAACACACAGGAAUGCAAAGGUCAAUGAUGUAGUGAUUGUUCAAGACGACAAUGCACCACGAAACACAUGGAAACUGGCCAAGGUCACUGAAGUUUGGAGAAGGAUGUGUGAGAAAGCUUCAGUUGCUGAUGAGCGAUUCAGCACUGGAUGACCAAGGCAAGCGACUCACCAAACCAGUCUACCUAGAGAGACCUAUUCACAAGACAGUUACUUUGCUGGAAGCUGAUUAAUGCUGCCAUAACACAGUAAUACAUCUUUCAUUGCACCUAGUGGCAAAUAUUCAUAUUUCAAUCCUACAUUCAAGUUAAUUAAAGAAAUCACCAGUGAUUUGGUGGGAGUGUAGCUGGCAUCAUAGCCAGCCAUACAGUUCAUCAGGCUUUCAUGUAAUUAAUAGGUUUUUCAUUUAGUAACCUCAUUUAAAUAUAAGAAUAGUGUACGUUUAUUAAAAGGGUUUAAUUUGUGUACAUAAAUAAGGAAGAUCACAAAGAAGGUUUAGAAGGCUGUUCAGAAGUUUAUUUAUUUAUAUUGUUUAGCGGAACCAAUGGGGGCGGGGCUUUGUGGUGCUGGCACACUGCUGCAACAUGAGACAGAUUGCCUCGCUGGAGACAGAGAAACAGGAGGAUAAGUUUUGUGUUGCUGUAAAGACAUGGACAAAGUGAAGACCCGUUCAGGUCCUUUCUAAUUCCUCUCAAGGUACACGGCCAAUGAGGGGUCUCAAACUCAAUUUGCCUUGGAGUCUGGGUGAGGCUGGGCCGCAUCAAACUUGAAAAUGGUGGGUGAUCGGCCGCUCCUCCAGCUAUUUCUUCUGAAUAUUUCUUCUGUUCCAAUGUCAACUCCAAUGUCGCGAGUUUGAAUACAACCUCCCCAAGUGAACGCUUUAGAAAGCGCCAAUGUGAUUUCGUUCAUGAUGCAACAAUGUGUGUGUGUGUGUGUGUGCGUGCGUGCAAGCAAUA